RNAcentral lists this ribosomal RNA (510 nucleotides) under uncultured bacterium. Its description in RNAcentral is "partial 16S ribosomal RNA". It matches the Rfam family "Bacterial small subunit ribosomal RNA", at positions 28 to 507 of the family's 1533-position model. The record is from RNAcentral.
GACGAACGCUGGCGGCGUGCUUAACACAUGCAAGUCGAACGAAGAGCGACGGAAGCUUGCUUCUAUCAAUCUUAGUGGCGAACGGGUGAGUAACGCGUAAUCAACCUGCCCUUCAGAGGGGGACAACAGUUGGAAACGACUGCUAAUACCGCAUACGAUCUAAUCUCGGCAUCGAGGAUGGAUGAAAGGUGGCCUCUACAUGUAAGCUAUCACUGAAGGAGGGGAUUGCGUCUGAUUAGCUAGUUGGAGGGGUAACGGCCCACCAAGGCGAUGAUCAGUAGCCGGUCUGAGAGGAUGAACGGCCACAUUGGGACUGAGACACGGCCCAGACUCCUACGGGAGGCAGCAGUGGGGAAUCUUCCGCAAUGGACGAAAGUCUGACGGAGCAACGCCGCGUGAGUGAUGACGGCCGUCGGGUUGUAAAGCUCUGUUAAUCGGGACGAAAGGCCUUCUUGCGAAUAGUGAGAAGGAUUGACGGUACCGGAAGAGAAAGCCACGGCUAACUACGUG